Molecule: microRNA precursor, 74 nt
Filed under: Podarcis lilfordi (Lilford's wall lizard)
Lineage: Eukaryota; Metazoa; Chordata; Lepidosauria; Squamata; Lacertidae
Source: RNAcentral
UGUGUGUGUGUGUGUCUGUGUGUGUGUGUCUGUGUGCGCGUGCACACGCACACACACACACACACACACACACA